This 153-nucleotide small RNA is filed under the name Mycoplasmoides pneumoniae M129. RNAcentral describes it as "Mycoplasma pneumoniae M129 ncRNA". Lineage: Bacteria; Bacillati; Mycoplasmatota; Mycoplasmoidales; Mycoplasmoidaceae. The record is from RNAcentral.
AGCAACUUUACCCCAAGCAGUAAUCCUAAUAUAGGACUUACUGUCAUUAAAACCGCUCGAAUCAAUGCACGCUAAGGAAAAGGACGCGCCAAUAUUGUUGGUACGGGUUUGCAAUUUAUUAGGAUCAAACGAGAGCUUACCAAAUAAAAAAAC